This 828-nucleotide ribosomal RNA is filed under the name uncultured bacterium. RNAcentral describes it as "bacterial SSU rRNA". It matches the Rfam family "Bacterial small subunit ribosomal RNA", at positions 28 to 869 of the family's 1533-position model. The record is from RNAcentral.
GAUGAACGCUGGCGGCGUGCUUAACACAUGCAAGUCGAACGAUGAACCUCACUUGUGGGGGGAUUAGUGGCGAACGGGUGAGUAACACGUGAGUAACCCGCCCUUGACUCUGGGAUAAGCCUGGGAAACUGGGUCUAAUACCGGAUAUGACCUUCCAUCGCAUGGUGGUUGGUGGAAAGCUUUUGUGGUUUUGGAUGGACUCGCGGCCUAUCAGCUUGUUGGUGGGGUAAUGGCCUACCAAGGCGACGACGGGUAGCCGGCCUGAGAGGGUGACCGGCCACACUGGGACUGAGACACGGCCCAGACUCCUACGGGAGGCAGCAGUGGGGAAUAUUGCACAAUGGGCGAAAGCCUGAUGCAGCGACGCCGCGUGAGGGAUGACGGCCUUCGGGUUGUAAACCUCUUUCAGUAGGGAAGAAGCGAAAGUGACGGUACCUGCAGAAGAAGCGCCGGCUAACUACGUGCCAGCAGCCGCGGUAAUACGUAGGGCGCAAGCGUUAUCCGGAAUUAUUGGGCGUAAAGGGCUCGUAGGCGGUUUGUCGCGUCGGGAGUGAAAUCCACUGGCUUAACUGGUGGCUUGCUUUCGAUACGGGCAGACUGGAGGUAUGCAGGGGAGAACGGAAUUCCUGGUGUAGCGGUGAAAUGCGCAGAUAUCAGGAGGAACACCGGUGGCGAACGCGGUUCUCUGGGCAUGUCCUGACGCUGAGGAGCGAAAGUGUGGGGAGCGAACAGGAUUAGAUACCCUGGUAGUCCACACCGUAAACGUUGGGCGCUAGGUGUGGGAUCCAUUCCACGGGUUCCGUGCCGCAGCUAACGCAUUAAGCGCCC